Molecule: long non-coding RNA, 1532 nt
Filed under: Phasianus colchicus (ring-necked pheasant)
Lineage: Eukaryota; Metazoa; Chordata; Aves; Galliformes; Phasianidae
Description: lncRNA (ENSPCLG00000011411.1)
Source: RNAcentral
UUGGAAUAUGGGAUGGGGAUUUGGGGUUGGAAUAUGGGGUACGGAUUUGGGGUUGGAAUAUGGGAUGGGGAUCUGGGGUUGAAUAUGGGAUGGGGAUUUGGGGUUGGAAUAUGGGAUGGGGAUUUGGGGUCGGGAUUGGGUUCAGGUUUUCAGGUUGGGAUGUGGGCUCAUGUUAUGGGGUCAGGAUAUGGGCUCAGGUUAUGGGGUCAGGUUAUAAGGCCAGGAUGUGGGCUCAUGUUAUGGGGUCAGGAUGUGGGUUCAGGUUAUGGGCUCAUGUUAUGGGGUCAGGAUGUGGGUUCAGGUUAUGGGCUCAUGUUAUGGGGUCAGGAUGUGGGCUCCGGUUAUGGGGUCAGGAUGUGGGCUCAGGUUAUGGGCUCAGGUUAUGGUGUCCAGAUCUGGGCUCAGAUUAUGGGGUCUGGAUCUGGACUCAGGUUAUGGGGUCGUGUUAUGGGCUCAGAUUAUGGGGUCUGGAUCUGGGCUCAGGUUAUGGGGUCGUGUUAUGGGCUCAUGUUAUGGGCUCAGGUUAUGGGGCUGGGAUGUGGGCUCAGGUUAUGGGGUCCGGAUCUGGGCUCAGGUUGUGGGUUCAGGUUAUGGGGCUGGGAUGUGGGCUCAGGUUAUGGGGUCAGGUUAUGGGGUCGGGUUAUGGGCUCAGGUUAUGGGGCUGGGAUGUGGGCUCAGGUUAUGGGCUCAGGUUAUGGGCUCAGGUUAUGGGGUCGAGUUAUUGGGUCAGGUUAUGGGGUCGUGUUAUGGGCUCAGUUAUGGGGCCGGGUUCUGUGCUCAGUUAUGGGCUCAGUUAUGGGGUCGGGUUCUGGGCUCAGUUAUGGGGCCGGGAUGUGGGUUCAGGUUAUGGGGCUGGGUUCUGUGCUCAGGUUAUGGGGUCGGGUUAUGGGCUCAGUUAUGGGGCUGGGUUCUGGGCUCAGUUAUGGGCUCAGUUAUGGGGUCGGGAUGUGGGUUCAGGUUAUGGGGCCGGGUUCUGUGCUCAGGUUAUGGGGCCGGGUUCUGGGCUCAGUUAUGGGGUCAGGUUAUGGGCUCAGUUAUGGGGCCGGGUUCUGCGCUCAGUUCUGGGCUCAGUUCUGCGCUCAGUUCUGGGCUCAGUUCUGCGCUCAGUUCUGGGCUCAGUUCUGCGCUCAGUUCUGGGCUCGGUUCUGGGCUCGGUUCUGGGCCGGGUUGUGCGCUCAGUUCUGCCCCCCGCAGGACGGGACGCUGUUCGGGGCCGUGGGCGCGUACGACUGGGACGGCGCGGUGCUGCAGGACGGCAGCCGGGGGCGCAGCGUCCCGUCGCGGGAGCGGCUGCGCGCGGAGUUCCGCACCGGGCCGGAGAAGCACGCGGCCUACCUGGGUACCGCGCCGGCGGCAGCACUGCGCCAUGCGGGGCAGCGCGGGGCGCUGUGGGGCGGGGAUGCUCGGCGCUAUGGGGCAGCACUGGGCGCUAUGGGGCAGGGAUGCUCGGCGCUAUGGGGCAGCACUGGGCACUAUGGGGCAGCACUGGGCGCUAUGGGGCAGGACACUCAGCGCUAUGGGGCAGCUCUGGG